GGGAGAUGCUGGCAAGAGGAGAUUGUUAGAGCCAUAAGGUCAAGCUCCAGGGAGAGACAGUGAUGAGCUGUGACAGGAGAGCUCAGUGUAGAGCCAGAGCAUGAACAUAUCACUGCAGGCACAAUCAGAACAGCUGAGCAGUUGGAUCAGGUGUGCAUGGAGCUGCUCCAAUUGCCAUGUAAGCCGAAGACCAAGUGUCUGUCAAAGGAAUCAGCCAGCAAGAGCUACGUUAGAAGUGCUCUGGGACAGCAGUGACAGGUGCAUGUCAUUACAGUAACUCCUAAAGCACAACAGCCACUGAAAAGAGCCAAUAACAGAGAAGCCGAGAGCUCCACAACUCCACGAAAGAGCAAGUAUAACAACUAACCUUAAACUACCUAAUGGACACUUUCACUUCACAUCUGCCUUUGGGUAACUGGCAAACAUUGGCACAUAUGGAUGAAGCACUGGACUGGAAGCCAUGACACCUACAUACCAUUCAUGGUUCACUGUGUGAACUUGGUCAAGCUGUUUAAACUCUCUGCCAGAUAGAUCAGCGGCAGGUAUAAAUCAGUGUAGCUCUGCUGGAGCCAAUGAAACUAUGAUUUAUACAAACUGAGGCCCUGGCAUUCUGUGCCUCAGUUUCCACAUUUGCAGCUAAUCACACAUACCUUUGAAAAGCGCUAUAAGUGAAGUAGUAUAAUAAUGAAUGCAUUACUAAUUAACUAGGGAGGAGAACAUGUUUUAGAUGCAGUGAAAUGUACAGCUGUGCAUGGAGAUUUUGAAGUGCAGUUACAGUCAGAAUAUUAGCCUCUGCAAAAAUAAAGCAAGUCAGGCUUCCUAUUUAUCCCCCCCUUUUUUCAAUGACUACCACUCAGUACUGCUCAUGUUUCAAAUCAAAGGGGGGCUUGGCUAAAUGUCAGUGCUGGAAACUCCACCUGGGACCUCCACCAGUGCCCUUUCUGCCUCUUCCAUCACUGCCAGUGACAAAUAGGAACUGAUUAGCCAGCAGCUCCAAUGGUGAUGUGCAAGACAAAACAGAACCCAGCUCUCUCUCCCAGAGCU
Molecule: long non-coding RNA, 1044 nt
Organism: Chelonia mydas (Green sea turtle)
Lineage: Eukaryota; Metazoa; Chordata; Testudines; Cheloniidae
Exons: 3
Source: RefSeq, a predicted model, not a curated record